GAUGAACGCUGGCGGCGUGCUUAACACAUGCAAGUCGAACGGUGAAGGCGGAGCUUGCUCUGCUGGAUCAGUGGCGAACGGGUGAGUAACACGUGAGCAAUCUGCCCCUGACUCUGGGAUAAGCGCUGGAAACGGCGGCUAAUACUGGAUACGAGCUGCGAAGGCAUCUUCAGCAGCUGGAAAGAAUUGCGGUCGGGGAUGGGCUCGCGGCCUAUCAGCUUGUUGGUGAGGUAAUGGCUCACCAAGGCGUCGACGGGUAGCCGGCCUGAGAGGGUGACCGGCCACACUGGGACUGAGACACGGCCCAGACUCCUACGGGAGGCAGCAGUGGGGAAUAUUGCACAAUGGGCGAAAGCCUGAUGCAGCAACGCCGCGUGAGGGACGACGGCCUUCGGGUUGUAAACCGCUUUUAGCAGGGAAGAAGCGAAAGUGACGGUACCUGGAGAAAAAGCGCCGGCUAACUACGUG
This 468-nucleotide ribosomal RNA is filed under the name uncultured bacterium. RNAcentral's name for it is "partial 16S ribosomal RNA". It matches the Rfam family "Bacterial small subunit ribosomal RNA", at positions 28 to 507 of the family's 1533-position model. The record is from RNAcentral.